AGUGAACGCUGGCGGCGUGCUUAACACAUGCAAGUCGAACGAGAACGGAAUAUCGCUUGCUAUAUUUGUUAGCUAAGUGGCGCACGGGUGAGUAAUGUAUAGAUAACCUGCCCUUAAGAAAGGAAUAACAGUUGGAAACGACUGCUAAUGCCCUAUAUGCCUUUAAUACAUAAGUAUGCAAGGGAAACGCUUUAGUGCUUAAGGAUGGGUCUGUAUGGUAUCAGCUUGUUGGUGAGGUAAUGGCUCACCAAGGCUAUGACGCCUAACUGGUUUGAGAGGAUGAUCGGUCACACUGGAACUGAGACACGGUCCAGACUCCUACGGGAGGCAGCAGUGGGGAAUAUUGCACAAUGGACGAAAGUCUGAUGCAGCAACGCCGCGUGGAGGAUGACACAUUUCGGUGCGUAAACUCCUUUUAUAUAGGAAGAUAAUGACGGUACUAUAUGAAUAAGCACCGGCUAACUCCGUGCCAGCAGCCGCCGUAA
This 485-nucleotide ribosomal RNA is filed under the name uncultured bacterium. RNAcentral's name for it is "partial 16S ribosomal RNA". It matches the Rfam family "Bacterial small subunit ribosomal RNA", at positions 29 to 523 of the family's 1533-position model. The record is from RNAcentral.